GUCUCAUCACUGUGACAUGAUGGGGAUAGUUUUAGUUAGUAGACCGUGCCCGGCUGCUCCUGAGAAGGGCUUGCAGCACUCAACUCUUGCUUAUCCURGCAAAUGUGGCUGGAAACUUGGGUGUUACCUCUGUCAAGAUGAUGCACAAAGUACACCUGUGUGGACUCUACCUGCACAGUGAGUUGCUAAAGCACUUUGCUCUGCAAGCUGAAGGUCACAUCUUGACUGGAUUGAAAGCRCUCCAGGGUUAGGAAGGGAUUCCURCAUGUACUGUGGUCACAUCUCUYGAUGGCAGUGUAGACAUUUCCUUAAUAGGGAAAUAGGGAAGCUGAAUGCGGCUUAUACACAGUACCUCAGUKCUAUAGGAAUCAACUCACCGUGUGUAAGGACAUCUGAAUAGAAGAAUAAGUUGCAAGAGACUGGGAAAAAGAUACUGAAGUCAGGCUAGAAAUAAUGGAUAACUGGCAUAUGAUGAGAGCACAUGGUAACAGGCUGAAGAGGAGAAAGAAUAAGCAAGGAUUUAUGGCGCACGUGCUCUGCCAUGAGUCUACUCCUAGUUCUGUCCAGGAAAUACCAGGCAAAAAUAUUGCAGCUCUGGAGAAAAUGCUGAGACAGUACCAGAAGAUGAUCUGCACCGUGCUGCGGGCAGCGAAACGGAAGCUGACCAGACAGGCCAUCUGGCAAGGCUUCUCAGUGCCUCGUAGGACUGGGUCUGCUCUUCUUCUGACUGAAAUUCUUCAGGAAGCAUCAGGCUGUAGCUAGCUCCACAUAAGGGGUCCAGAGAACUAGAUGCCUUUGGUUUCCAACCCAAGGUCAGUGGAGAGGACACAAUUGGAAUGUGUAUAAAGACAGCUGCCAUUCUUAAUAGUCUUCUCGCUAUGGUUCACUCUAUUGUUCAAUAUGUGGACUGAAAGGAUGGAGAACUGGCUGAACUGCAAGGCCCAAAGGGCUGUGAUCAGCAAGUCCAACUGGCAGCUGUUAAAAGUGGCAUUCCUCACUGGUCGGUAUGGUUUAAUAUCCUUAUGGAAGAUCUGGAUGAUGGACUGAAUACACCCUCAGCAAGUCUGUGGAUGUUCCCAAGCUGGAGAAAGUGAAGGAAAUGCUGGAGGGCAGGGCUGCUAUUCAGAGGGACCUGGAGAAACAGCCUAAGAAGAACAUYGUGAGGAACAUCAUGAAGCUCAGCAAAGGCAAAUGCUAAGUUCUGCAUUUGGGAUGGACCAGCCCCAGGCAAGAGAACAUUCUGGGACUGACUGGUUAGAAAGCAGUUUUGCAGAAAAGGGUCGGGGGGUUCUGGUGGACAACAUGUGGAACAUGAGUUAGCAGUGUGCUCUUGCAGCAAAGACCAACUGCAUCCUGGGCUGUAUUUGUGAGAGUGUAGCCAGCAGGGCCAAGGAAGGGAUUGUUCCCCUCUAUUAGGCACUGAUGAGACCACAUCUGGAGUGCUGUGUCUAGUUUGGGCUCCCCAGUGCAAGACAGACAUUGAUAUACUGUGGCAAGUCCAGUGGGGGUCACCAAGACAGUCAGACRCUGAAGCACAUGCUGUAUGAGAAGAGGCAGAAGGAGAUGGGUUUGUUCAGCCUGGAGAAUAAAAGGUAAAGGAGGGAUCUUAUUGCUGUCUAC
This is a long non-coding RNA of Apteryx rowi (Okarito brown kiwi), 1620 nucleotides long. Lineage: Eukaryota; Metazoa; Chordata; Aves; Apterygiformes; Apterygidae. The record is from Ensembl.